UGACGACCAUAGCAAGGUGGUCCCACUCCUUCCCAUCCCGAACAGGACAGUGAAACGCCUUCGCGCCGAUGAUAGUGGAUGUACAUCCGUGAAAGUAGGUCAUCGUCAGGCU
RNAcentral lists this ribosomal RNA (112 nucleotides) under Bordetella bronchiseptica. Lineage: Bacteria; Pseudomonadati; Pseudomonadota; Betaproteobacteria; Burkholderiales; Alcaligenaceae. The record is from RNAcentral. RNAcentral also lists the same sequence under 1 other name.